UGGGGAAUCUUGGACAAUGGGGGCAACCCUGAUCCAGCCAUGCCGCGUGAGUGAUGAAGGCCUUAGGGUUGUAAAGCUCUUUCGCCGGUGAAGAUAAUGACGGUAACCGGUAAAGAAGCCCCGGCUAACUUCGUGCCAGCAGCCGCGGUAAUACGAAGGGGGCUAGCGUUGUUCGGAAUUACUGGGCGUAAAGCGCGCGUAGGCGGACUAUUAAGUCAGGGGUGAAAUCCCGGGGCUCAACCUCGGAAUUGCCUUUGAUACUGGUAGUCUAGAGUCCGUGAGAGGUGAGUGGAACUCCGAGUGUAGAGGUGAAAUUCGUAGAUAUUCGGAAGAACACCAGUGGCGAAGGCGACCACCUGGACGGGUACUGACGCUGAGACGCGAAAGCGUGGGGAGCAAACAGGAUUAGAUACCCGGGUAGUCC
RNAcentral lists this ribosomal RNA (424 nucleotides) under uncultured prokaryote. RNAcentral describes it as "bacterial SSU rRNA". It matches the Rfam family "Bacterial small subunit ribosomal RNA", at positions 355 to 796 of the family's 1533-position model. The record is from RNAcentral.